Molecule: long non-coding RNA, 1110 nt
Filed under: Cyanistes caeruleus (blue tit)
Lineage: Eukaryota; Metazoa; Chordata; Aves; Passeriformes; Paridae
Description: lncRNA (ENSCCEG00000001819.1)
Source: RNAcentral
AAAUCCAUUUAAUUAUCAAAAUCCAUUUAAUUACCCCAAAAUCCAUUUAAUUAUCAAAAUCCAUUUAAUUAUCCCCAAAAUCCAUUUAAUUAUCCCCAAAUCCAUUUAAUUAUCCCCAAAAUCCAUUUAAUUAUCCCCAAAUCCAUUUAAUUAUCCCAAAAUCCAUUUAAUUAUCCCAAAAUCUCCCCCAAUUACCCCACAAUCUAUUUAAUUACCCCAAAUCCAUUUAAUUAUCCCCAAAAUCCAUUUAAUUACCCCAAAAUCCAUUUAAUUAUCCCCAAAUCCAUUUAAUUACCCCAAAAUCCAUUUAAUUAUCAAAAUCCAUUUAAUUACCCCAAAAUCCAUUUAAUUAUCAAAAUCCAUUUAAUUAUCCCCAAAAUCCAUUUAAUUAUCAAAAUCCAUUUAAUUAUCCCCAAAAUCCAUUUAAUUAUCCCAAAAUCCAUUUAAUUAUCCCCAAAAUCCAUUUAAUUACCCCAAAAUCCAUUUAAUUAUCUCAAAAUUCACAUUAAUUAUCCCAAAAUCUCCUUUAAUUACCCCAAAAUUCCCCGUUUUUAACCCAAAAUCCUCCUCAAUUACCCCAAAAUCCAUUGAAUUACCCUGAAAUUCCCGUUUUUUUCCCCCAAAUUCCCGUUUUUUUGUUAUUUUUAUGAAUUUUCCCAAUUUCCCAUUUUUUUGCCCCAUUCCAGGCCCCCUGGGCCGGGCCGGGUUCGGUUCCGGAGGCUCCGGCUGUCGAUGUUUUAUUGAUUUUCCCAAAUUCCCCUCAUUUUCACCCAAAAUUCCCGGGUUUUUUUAUGAAUUUCCCCAAAUUCCCGUUUUUUGUUAUUUUUAUGAAUUUUCCCAAUUCCGGGUGUUUUUGCCCCAUUCCAGGCCCCCUGGGCCGGGCCGGGUUCGGUUCCGGAGGCUCCGGCGGCCGCGGCGGCUUCAGCGGUGGGGGAGGGGCGCAGCAGCGAGCGGGGGACUGGAAAUGCCCCAACCCGUGAGUGCCAAACUGGGUUAUACUGGGUUAUACUGGUUUAUACUGGGUUAUACUGGGAUUGAUUGGGGUAUACUGGGAUUGACUGGUUUAUACUGGGAUUGACUGGUUUAUACUGGUUUGGGCUGGUUUGGACU